CCUACGGGUGGCAGCAGUGGGGAAUAUUGGGCAAUGGGCGCAAGCCUGACCCAGCAACGCCGCGUGAAGGAAGAAGGCUUUCGGGUUGUAAACUUCUUUUCUCAGGGACGAAGAAAGUGACGGUACCGGAGGAAUAAGCCACGGCUAACGACGGGCCAGCAGCCGCGGUAAUACGUAGGUGGCAAGCGUUAGUCGGAUUUAUUGGGUGUAAAGGGCGUGUAGGCGGGAGCGCAAGUCAGAUGUGAAAACUCAGGGCUCAACCCUGAGCCUGCAUUUGAAACUGUGUUUCUUGAGUGCUGGAGAGGCAAUCGGAAUGCCGUGUGUAGCGGUGAAAUGCGUAGAUAUACGGAGGAACACCAGUGGCGAAGGCGGAUUGCUGUACAGUACCUGACGCUGUGGCGCUCACGCGUGGGGAGCAAACAGGAUUAGAUACCCCUGUAGUC
RNAcentral lists this ribosomal RNA (443 nucleotides) under uncultured bacterium. Its description in RNAcentral is "partial 16S ribosomal RNA". It matches the Rfam family "Bacterial small subunit ribosomal RNA", at positions 338 to 795 of the family's 1533-position model. The record is from RNAcentral.